Molecule: ribosomal RNA, 253 nt
Filed under: uncultured bacterium
Lineage: Bacteria
Description: partial 16S ribosomal RNA
Rfam family: Bacterial small subunit ribosomal RNA
Source: RNAcentral
UACAGAGGUCCCAAGCGUUGUUCGGAAUCACUGGGCGUAAAGGGCGCGUAGGCGGGAUGGCAAGUCAGUCGUGAAAUCUCUCGGCUCAACCGAGAAACGUCGGCUGAUACUGCCGUUCUUGAGGGAUGCAGAGGAGACUGGAAUUCCCGGUGUAGCGGUGAAAUGUGUAGAGAUCGGGAGGAACACCGGUGGCGAAGGCGGGUCUCUGGGCAUCUCCUGACGCUGAGGCGCGAAAGCGUGGGGAGCAAACGGG